AGAGUUUGAUCCUGGCUCAGGAUGAACGCUAGCGGCAGGCAAUCGUGCGGGCGAACGUGAUUGUUGUAGCAAUAUGACAUGAAAGUGGCGCACGGGUGCGUAACACGUAUGCAAUCUACCUUUAACAGGAUAAUAGCUUCGAGAAAUCGGAAUUAAUACUCCAUAACAUCAUUUGGUGGCAUCAUCGAAUGAUCAAACCUCCGGGGGUUAAAGAUGAGCGUGCGCAACAUUAGCUAGUUGGUAAGGUAAUGGCUUACCAAGGCUACGAUGUUUAGGGGGUCUGAGAGGAUGAUCCCCCACACUGGUACUGAGACACGGACCAGACUCCUACGGGAGGCAGCAGUAGGGAAUAUGGGUUAUGGAGGAAACUCUGACCCAGCCAUGCCGCGUGCAGGAUGACGGCCCUCUGGGUUGUAAACUGUUUUUAUACGGGAAGAAAAAGCACUACGUGUAGUGUACUGACGGUACCGUAAGAAUAAGGAUCGGCUAACUCCGUGCCAGCAGCCGCGGUAAUACGGAGGAUCCAAGCGUUGUCCGGAUUUAUUGGGUUUAAAGGGUGCGUAGGCGGAUCUUUAAGUCAGUGGUGAAAGCCUGCAGCUUAACUGUAGAACAGCCAUUGAAACUGAAGAUCUUGAAUUUGGUUAAAGUAGGCGGAAUGUAUCAUGUAGCGGUGAAAUGCUUAGAUAUGAUACAGAACACCGAUAGCGAAGGCAGCUUGCUGAACCAAUAUUGACGCUGAGGCACGAAAGCGUGGGGAGCGAACAGGAUUAGAUACCCUGGUAGUCCACGCCCUAAACGUUGAUUACUCGUUGUUGGCGAUAUACUGUCAGCGACCAAGCUAAAGCGUUAAGUAAUCCACCUGGGAAGUACGACCGCAAGGUUGAAACUCAAAGGAAUUGACGGGGGCCCGCACAAGCGGAGGAGCAUGUGGUUUAAUUCGAUGAUACGCGAGGAACCUUACCUGGGCUUGAAAGUUAGUGACUUUCUGUGAAAGCAGAAUUCUCUUCGGAGCACAAAACUAGGUGCUGCAUGGCUGUCGUCAGCUCGUGCCGUGGGGUGUUGGGUUAAGUCCCGCAACGAGCGCAACCCCUUUCUUUAGUUGCCAUCAGGUUAUGCUGGGGACUCUAAAGAUACUGCCUACGUAAGUAGUGAGGAAGGUGGGGAUGACGUCAAGUCAUCAUGGCCCUUACGUCCAGGGCUACACACGUGCUACAAUGGGCGACACAAAUGGUUGCUACUCAGUAAUGAGGUGCUAAUCCCAAAAAGUCGUUCUCAGUUCGGAUUGAGGUCUGCAACUCGACCUCAUGAAGCUGGAUUCGCUAGUAAUCGCAUAUCAGCAAUGAUGCGGUGAAUACGUUCCCGGGCCUUGUACACACCGCCCGUCAAGCCAUGAAAGAUGGGAGUACCUGAAGUCGAUAACCGCAAGGAGUCGCCCAGGGCUCCUUGAUUGGGGCUAAGUCGUAACAAGGUA
RNAcentral lists this ribosomal RNA (1471 nucleotides) under uncultured Bacteroidota bacterium. Its description in RNAcentral is "bacterial SSU rRNA". It matches the Rfam family "Bacterial small subunit ribosomal RNA". Lineage: Bacteria; Pseudomonadati; Bacteroidota. The record is from RNAcentral.